UACGAAGGGGGCUAGCGUUGCUCGGAAUCACUGGGCGUAAAGGGUGCGUAGGCGGGUCUUUAAGUCAGGGGUGAAAUCCUGGAGCUCAACUCCAGAACUGCCUUUGAUACUGAAGAUCUUGAGUUCGGGAGAGGUGAGUGGAACUGCGAGUGUAGAGGUGAAAUUCGUAGAUAUUCGCAAGAACACCAGUGGCGAAAGCGGCUCACUGGCCCGAUACUGACGCUGAGGCGCGAAAGCUAGGGGAGCAAACAGGG
RNAcentral lists this ribosomal RNA (254 nucleotides) under uncultured bacterium. RNAcentral describes it as "partial 16S ribosomal RNA". It matches the Rfam family "Bacterial small subunit ribosomal RNA", at positions 524 to 777 of the family's 1533-position model. The record is from RNAcentral.